Molecule: ribosomal RNA, 1288 nt
Filed under: Octospora grimmiae
Lineage: Eukaryota; Fungi; Ascomycota; Pezizomycetes; Pezizales; Pyronemataceae
Description: SSU rRNA
Rfam family: Eukaryotic small subunit ribosomal RNA
Source: RNAcentral
UGCGAAUGGCUCAUUAAAUCAGUUAUCGUUUAUUUGAUAGUACCUUACUACUUGGAUAACCGUGGUAAUUCUAGAGCUAAUACAUGCUAAAAAUCCCGACCUCUGGAAGGGAUGUAUUUAUUAGAUAAAAAACCAAUGCCUUCGGGCUUCUUGGUGAUUCAUGAUAACUUUACGAAUCGCAUGGCCUUGUGCUGGCGAUGGUUCAUUCAAAUUUCUGCCCUAUCAACUUUCGAUGGUAGGAUAGUGGCCUACCAUGGUUUCAACGGGUAACGGGGAAUUAGGGUUCGAUUCCGGAGAGGGAGCCUGAGAAACGGCUACCACAUCCAAGGAAGGCAGCAGGCGCGCAAAUUACCCAAUCCCGACACGGGGAGGUAGUGACAAUAAAUACUGAUACAGGGCCCUUUUGGGUCUUGUAAUUGGAAUGAGUACAAUUUAAACCCUUUAACGAGGAACAAUUGGAGGGCAAGUCUGGUGCCAGCAGCCGCGGUAAUUCCAGCUCCAAUAGCGUAUAUUAAAGUUGUUGCAGUUAAAAAGCUCGUAGUUGAACUUUGGGUCUGGGUGACUGGUCUGCGGUCUACUGCAUGUACUGGAAACUCGGAUCUUUCCUUCUGGAGAACCGCAUGCACUUCACUGGGUGUGCCGGGGAACCAGGACUUUUACUUUGAAAAAAUUAGAGUGUUCAAAGCAGGCAUUUGCUCGAAUACAUUAGCAUGGAAUAAUAAAAUAGGACGUGCGGUUCUAUUUUGUUGGUUUCUAGGACCGCCGUAAUGAUUAAUAGGGAUAGUCGGGGGCAUCCGUAUUCGAUUGUCAGAGGUGAAAUUCUUGGAUUUUUCGAAGACGAACUACUGCGAAAGCAUUUGCCAAGGAUGUUUUCAUUAAUCAGGAACGAAAGUUGAGGGAUCGAAGACGAUCAGAUACCGUCGUAGUCUCAACCAUAAACUAUGCCGACUAGGGAUUGGGCGACUGUGUUUUUUGAGUUGCUCAGCACCUUACGAGAAAUUAAAGUUUUUGGGUUCUGGGGGGAGUAUGGUCGCAAGGCUGAAACUUAAAGGAAUUGACGGAAGGGCACCACCAGGAGUGGAGCCUGCGGCUUAAUUUGACUCAACACGGGGAAACUCACCAGGUCCAGACACAUUAAGGAUUGACAGAUUGAGAGCUCUUUCUUGAUCAUGUGGGUGGUGGUGCAUGGCCGUUCUUAGUUGGUGGAGUGAUUUGUCUGCUUAAUUGCGAUAACGAACGAGACCUUAACCUGCUAAAUAGCUGGGCUCGCUUUCGCGGGUUCUUGGCU